RNAcentral lists this non-coding RNA (23 nucleotides) under Rattus norvegicus (Norway rat). The record is from RNAcentral. Lineage: Eukaryota; Metazoa; Chordata; Mammalia; Rodentia; Muridae.
AAUGGAAGUAAUUAGGUUAGAGC